ACGGGUGAGUAACACGUGGGCAAUCUGCCCUGUACUUUGGGAUAAGCCUGGGAAACUGGGUCUAAUACCGGAUAUCACUGAUCCUCGCAUGGGGGUUGGUUGAAAGUUCUGGCGGUACAGGAUGAGCCCGCGGCCUAUCAGCUUGUUGGUGGGGUAAUGGCCUACCAAGGCGACGACGGGUAGCCGGCCUGAGAGGGUGACCGGCCACACUGGGACUGAGACACGGCCCAGACUCCUACGGGAGGCAGCAGUGGGGAAUAUUGCACAAUGGGCGAAAGCCUGAUGCAGCGACGCCGCGUGAGGGAUGACGGCCUUCGGGUUGUAAACCUCUUUCGCCAGGGACGAAGCGCAAGUGACGGUACCUGGAUAAGAAGCACCGGCUAACUACGUGCCAGCAGCCGCGGUA
Molecule: ribosomal RNA, 406 nt
Filed under: uncultured Amycolatopsis sp.
Lineage: Bacteria; Bacillati; Actinomycetota; Actinomycetes; Pseudonocardiales; Pseudonocardiaceae
Description: bacterial SSU rRNA
Rfam family: Bacterial small subunit ribosomal RNA
Source: RNAcentral